CUGGUUGAUCCUGCCAGUAGUUAUAUGCUUGUCUCAAAGAUUAAGCCAUGCAUGUGUAAGCACAUGCCUUUAAACGGUAAAGCCGCGAAUGGCUCGGUAUAACAGCUGCAGUUUAUUAGACCAUAGUUUUCUACUUGGAUAACUGUGGCAAUUCUAGAGCUAAUACAUGCACGAAAGCUCGGACCCUCGCGGAAAGAGCGCAUUUAUUAGACCAAAACCAAUCGGGCGCUUCGGCGCUUGGUUUUUGGUGACUCUGAAUAACUUAGUUGAUCGCACAGUCUUAGUACUGGCGACGUAUCUUUCAAAUGUCUGCCUUAUCAACUUUCGAUGGUAGGUUAUACGCCUACCAUGGUGAUAACGGGUAACGGAGAAUUAGGGUUCGACUCCGGAGAGGGAGCCUGAGAAACGGCUACCACAUCCAAGGAAGGCAGCAGGCGCGCAAAUUACCCAAUCUCAGAACGAGGAGGUAGUGACGAAAAAUAACAAAACAGUCCACUUUGUGGCCUGUUAUCGGAAUGGGUACAAUUUAAAUCUUUUAACGAGGAUCUAUUAGAGGGCAAGUCUGGUGCCAGCAGCCGCGGUAAUUCCAGCUCUAAUAGCGUAUAUUAAAGUUGUUGUGGUUAAAACGCCCGUAGUUGGUUUUUCGGUCUCGAAGCUCGGUAGCUCGUAUGGGCUUAACUGAGUCUUCCGGCCUAAAUUUCUUGUACUCUCCCGAUGCUCUUUAUUGAGUGUCUCGAGAUGCUAGAACGUUUACUUUGAAAAAAUUAGAGUGCUAAAAGCAGGCUAUACGCUUGAAUAAAGUGCAUGGAAUAAUGGAAUAGGACUUUAGUUUUAUUUUGUUGGUUUUCGAAAUUAAAGUAAUGAUUAAGAGGAACAGACGGGGGCAUUCGUAUUGUUGCGUUAGAGGUGAAAUUCUUGGAUCGCAGCAAGACGAACAACUGCGAAAGCAUUUGCCAAGAAUGUUUUCAUUAAUCAAGGACGAUAGUUAGAGGUUCGAAGGCGAUCAGAUACCGCCCUAGUUCUAACCGUAAACUAUGCCAACUAGCGAUCCGUCGGUGUUAAAUAUUGACUCGACGGGCAGCUUCCGGGAAACCAAAGUUUAUAGGUUCCGGGGGAAGUAUGGUUGCAAAGCUUAAACUUAAAGGAAUUGACGGAAGGGCACCACCAGGAGUGGAGCCUGCGGCUUAAUUUGACCCAACACGGGGAAACUCACCCGGCCAGGACACAAUAAGGAUUGACAGAUUGAUAGCUCUUUCUUGAUUUUGUGGGUGGUGGUGCAUGGCCGUUCUUAGUUGGUGGAGCGAUUUGUCUGGUUAAUUCCGAUAACGAACGAGACUCUAGCCUAUUAAAUAGACGAUAUAUCUC
RNAcentral lists this ribosomal RNA (1365 nucleotides) under metagenome. RNAcentral's name for it is "SSU rRNA". It matches the Rfam family "Eukaryotic small subunit ribosomal RNA", at positions 4 to 1370 of the family's 1831-position model. The record is from RNAcentral.